Triticum dicoccoides is the source of this 245-nucleotide long non-coding RNA. RefSeq lists it as uncharacterized. The transcript has 3 exons. NCBI's taxonomy places the organism in Eukaryota, Viridiplantae, Streptophyta, Magnoliopsida, Poales, Poaceae. The record is from RefSeq and is a predicted model, not a curated record.
CCCUAUAGUUGGUCAAAGGUUUCAAGCAUGAUGUACCUGGACUCCCCUGCCGGUGUUGGGAUGUCAUACUCAUUGAACAAAUCGGAUUACACAACAGGUGACCUGAAAACCGCAUCCGAUGCGCAUACCUUCCUUUUGAAGUGGUUCGAGUUAUACCCGGAGUUUCAGUUGAACCCAUUCUACAUUUCCGGAGAGUCAUACGCAGGGAUAUACAUUCCUACACUAGCUGAUGAAGUUGUUAAAGG